Molecule: non-coding RNA, 586 nt
Organism: Epinephelus lanceolatus (giant grouper)
Lineage: Eukaryota; Metazoa; Chordata; Actinopteri; Perciformes; Serranidae
Source: RefSeq, a predicted model, not a curated record
GAAUGAUAAUGAUUCACACACAUACGCAAGGUGGUGAGAACAAAAUUGGCCGGUGCGCAGGUGUCAUGAAUCCCACAGUGAUUUUGAGUGCAGGUACUAGACUUACCUGCCUGCAGUCCAGACUUGUCUCCCAUUGAACAUGUAGCACAUUAUGAAGCACAACAUAUGAAAACAGAGACCCUGGACUAUUGUGCAACUGAAGUCAUAUAUCAAACAAGAAUGAGAAGAAUUUCACUUUCAAAACCUCAACUUUCAAAACCAAUAGCAUUGGUGGCUUAGUAGAUAGAGCAGGCGCCCCAUGCACAAGGCUGUUGCUGCAGCGGCCCGGGUUCAAGUCCAGCCUGUCGUCCUUGGCUGCAUGUCAUUCCCCCUCUCUCUCUCCCUCCUUCACACUUGGCUGCCCAGUCCAUUAAAGGCAAAAUGCCCCAAAAAAACAAAAAACUCAAUAGUUAGUGUUCUCAGUUUGCAAACACUUACUGAGUGUAGUUUUAAGUAAACACCAUCUUUAUAUGUGUCUCAGGCAUCAAAUUCAGAAUGAGUGUAUAUACACAAAAAAACAAUAAAGUUUAUUAGUUUGAACAUUAAA